AAUCAAGGCCACAUCAAGGCUACCGUUAUUAUUCUAGUCUUCACGGUUUACAAACACUAAUGUCAAAGCGGAAAGAACUCUUUAAAUUCAACAUUAUUUAAAUAUUUUAACAGUGAGCCAAUGAGUGAAAAUUUUGAGUUUGCAGAUUAUUCGUAGUUUGUUACUGCUUAGAUCUUACUUUGUUUUAAUAUGAUCAUUUCAUCAACCAUAUAAACAAAACAAGUAAAAGUGAUGGCAACGUUAAUUGAAGCUGUAAAGCGACAAGCUCUAUCAACUUUUUCUAAAAAUUGUUCUAGCGUAUACUUUGAAGAAAACUUGAGCAAGUUAAGAUUGUUAGCUAGUAAAUUAACCUCAAGUGAUGUUGAACUUGAUAAAUCUUUAUUACUUAAUAGUGAUUUACCCAAUACUAAUAUAAAAAGUUCAAAAUCAAGGUUAGCCCCAGUGACAUAUAUAGAGGUUUUUGAAAAUCCAGACAUUACUAUUGGUAUUUUUAUUUUGAAGAGUGGAGCCAGACUUCCUUUACAUGAUCAUCCACUGAUGUAUGGAAUACUAAAGGUGAUACAUGGUAAAGUUCGGAUUCAUAGUUACUCACCUCUAUCAAGAGAGGAUUUGACCGAGGAACAAGCUUCUGAAACUAGCUUUGUUGAUAGGUGUGGUAAGCAGUACAGUUCACAUGAUGCUGAUACAUCACCAACCGAUCUAUUCAGGCAAGCUUGUCUUUUUGCUGUGAAAGAACCAGAAUUAUAGUUGAUCAGUCUGAUGAUGCAUGUUUAUUAUCUCACAAAGAGGCAAUUUACAUGAAAUACACACGGUAGAUGGCCCAGCAGCUUUUGUAGAUAUACUAUCACCUCCGUAUGAUGCAGAUAUUCCAGGAUUUGGACCUAGACCGUGUAGAUAUUUUAGGGAAGUAAGUCAUUCAAAUGAAAAUCUCGUGAGCAAAUUGAUCACAAUUCCAAGUCCAUCUGAUUAUUGGAGUGAUACUGCCCCGUACACAGGUCCUUCAUGUAAUAGUGAUGAAUGACACUACUUAUGAUUCAACUAAAGUAUUUCAGGCAAGUAAUAUCCCAGGCAGUACUCCAGACUAUUGGCAGAUGGCUUAUUAAAUUAAGUUCUAUGAUGAUAAUUUUGUAGCGCUGGCCUGCAAAGCUCAAACUGAUCUAGGCAAUUUUUACUUACAUAAUUGACUAUCUAUAGAAGAAUAAUUCCUAGUCAAUAAUUUCCAUAGUUCAAUCAAUUAUUCUGAUAUCAGUCGCCGUUCUAUUUUAAUGUAGUAUUGUUCAUUAUCUUUGAAAAAUAAUUAUUGCAUAUCUGGAAAUUGCUAUCCAACGAUCCUUUUUAGUAUUUUUGUAGUAUCUAUGAUCUAUGAAUUAAGAAUAAAUGUAUUUUUAGUCCAAACUCGAA
Molecule: RNA transcript, 1401 nt
Organism: Nilaparvata lugens (brown planthopper)
Lineage: Eukaryota; Metazoa; Arthropoda; Insecta; Hemiptera; Delphacidae
Gene name: 2-aminoethanethiol dioxygenase-like
Exons: 2
Source: RefSeq, a predicted model, not a curated record